GAUUCUGCCAGUAGUCAUAUGCUCCGUUCAAGGGCUAAGCCAUGCAUGUCUCAGUGUACAUGGAUUGAGAGUGGGUCUGUGAAUGGCUCCUUACAUCAGCAGUCAUCUCCGUGAUAGAGUGUGGAUGAUGCCAGAUUUCCCAGGCAUCCAAUGGACAUCCUCCAUAACCUGGUGGCUAAUACACAGAAGCAACGGUCUGCUGCAACACAUGGCCUUUGAAAGCCCAUCCCUGCUGAUGAGGGCCAGCAGUGGAUUGCAACCAGCCGUCUGGAAGACUGGCGCCUGGUAAAGGCAGUGUGCUUGUUGGCUGACUCAGGCUGAUCCCACAGAGGACACCUGCACUGGCAGCAUCAAAGAUGUGAGAUUCCCACACAGCUAGCUUGAUCACACGAACUUCUGACCUAUCAGCCUGGACUGUGGUGUAGUGGACCACAGUGGCCAUCACGGGUAACGGAGAAUCUGGGUUUGAUUCCGGAGAGGGAGCCUGAGAGACGGCUACCACUACCAAGGUGGGCAGCAGGCGCGCAAAUUGCCCAAUGCAAACACAUCUUGCGAGGCAGCAACGAACCGCAACAAUCUUGCAGGCUCUCUCAUAGCUAGCGGGAUCUGUAAUGGAUGCUAUCCAAACACAGUGAUGAGUACCAACUGGAGGGCAAGUCUGGUGCCAGCAGCUGCGGUAAUUCCAGCUCCAAGGGCGUAUACUAACAUUGCUGCUGUUAAAACACUUGUAGUCUGCCACUGGGUGCAGGUCUGCUGGGUGGCCAAUGUGCUGCGCCAGGCACAGCCAAAACUGUGCCGGCAGGGCAUUGGGACACAACCCCCGGCAGUAUGUCCUGUGCCCGCCUCUGAUGAUGGUGAGACCUGCUCCUGCGAGGAGUCUCCUUCAGUGGGGACCCCAAACAGCAACACACCCCAGUGCUUGUCAAGACGUUCCGGGGACACAGUCCAGAGCCGUGUGAUGACACCCCCAGUCUGCUACCGGAGUCCACCAUUGCAGUCACCGUGGAAAACUCAGUGUGCUCAAAGCAUCCAUCUGGCCGGAUGCCCGUCCGUGGAAUGUCAAAGCAACGCCCAGAUGCGGCCAUGGAGUUGUGCUAGCCUUGGAGCCCACUCAGGAGAAUCUGAUGCUGUGCACUUGGCAGGUGGUCCAGGUGUGGCCCGCGUGAUCUGUCAUUUGGGGCCCACCCCACGGACACUGUCCCGUUAUGCAGACUAUCGACCGGAGAUGAUGGGACCACUCAAGGUGGAAGAUAUUGCAACGCCAGAGGUGAAAUUCUUAGACCGCUGCAAGAUUCACAGCGGCGAAGGCGUUCUGCAUGUCUGAGUUCGUCGAUCAAGAAUGAGAGCCUGGGGAGCAAAGGUGAUUAGACACCUCCGUAGUCCAGAGCUGUAAACCAUGCCGGCAGAGGUGAUGAUGGGGCAAUCCUAGGACCCCACCACCACCAACCUUCCCCUGCAACGAGAAAUCCAAGCCUUUGGGUUCAGGGGGGAGUACUGCUGCAAGGCUGAAACUUAAAGGAAUUGACGGAAUGGCACCACAAGGCGUGGAGUAUGCGGCUUAAUUUGACUCAACACGGGGAACGUUACCAGGUCAGGACGUUGCUGGGAUUGACAGAUUGAGAGCUCUUUCUUGAUUCUCCGGAUGGUGGUGCAUGGCCGCUCCUGAUUGGUGGAGUGAUUUGUCUGGUUGAUUCCGAUAACGAGUGAGACAUCUACCUCCCACUAGCCCCAGUCUCGCAUCUGUAGGGUGGACGGUGAGCCCCCUCGUGGGGUCAGCCCAGUUGUUCGUUCAGUGCCUCUGGGUCACCAAUGUCCCCCGAGAGUGCUGGGUCCCAAGCUUCUCUGAGGUGCUGAGCAUAACCCAAAACAGUGCUUGCAUGCUAGAUACAACAGCAGGUCUGUGAUGCUCCCAGAUGUCCUGGGCCGCACGCGCACUACAUUGACACAGUGAAGGUGUUAGCUCCUUGCUAUAUGCUGAGGCCCUGCCCAGAAGUGGGUGAGAAACCAUACAAGCCUGUGUUGUCCUGGGGAUAGAUGAUUGCAACUGUCUGCCUUGAACGAGGAAUGCCUUGUAGGCGUGUGUCAUCAGCACACACCGAAUACGUCCCUGCCAUUUGUACACACCGCCCGUCGUUGCUACCGAUGACAACAGGAUAGAGCCAUCCGGAGGCGCCAUGCCCUAGAAUCUGGUGUGAGCCGAAAUCGGGCAAUGUCAAGCUGUUAGAGGAAGCAAAAGUC
This 2238-nucleotide ribosomal RNA is filed under the name Monomorphina rudicula. Its description in RNAcentral is "SSU rRNA". It matches the Rfam family "Eukaryotic small subunit ribosomal RNA". The record is from RNAcentral. Lineage: Eukaryota; Euglenozoa; Euglenophyceae; Euglenales; Euglenaceae.